Molecule: unclassified non-coding RNA, 377 nt
Filed under: soil metagenome
Description: partial contains 5.8S ribosomal RNA, internal transcribed spacer 2, and large subunit ribosomal RNA
Rfam family: 5.8S ribosomal RNA (bases 1-120)
Source: RNAcentral
GAUGAAGAACGCAGCGAAAUGCGAUAAGUAAUGUGAAUUGCAGAAUUCAGUGAAUCAUCGAAUCUUUGAACGCAUCUUGCGCUCCUUGGUAUUCUGAGGAGCAUGCCUGUUUGAGUGUCAUUAAAUUCUCAACCGCACUGACUUUGAAUUGGUGUGGCUUGGAUUUGGGGGGAAAAUUGUUGUGGGCUUUUUUGUAUAGUCUGCUCCCCUGAAAUUGAUUAGCGGUACCUUUGUGGAACUGUCUACAGGUGUGAUAAUUAUCUACAUCCUAGACAUCUGCUGGAAUGCUGCUUUCUAAACCUUACUUGUAUUGUCAAUCUUGACCUCAAAUCAGGUAGGACUACCCGCUGAACUUAAGCAUAUCAAUAAGCGGAGGA